GGCAAGAUGGCCGAGUGGUUAAGGCGGCAGACUCAAGUUCUGCUGAAGCAAUUCGCGUGGGUUCGAAUCCCACUCUUGUCA
RNAcentral lists this transfer RNA (81 nucleotides) under Ophiostoma novo-ulmi subsp. novo-ulmi H327. RNAcentral describes it as "tRNA-Leu (CAA) (tRNA-Leu-CAA-2-1)". It matches the Rfam family "tRNA". Rfam says of the family: Transfer RNA (tRNA) molecules are approximately 80 nucleotides in length. Their secondary structure includes four short double-helical elements and three loops (D, anti-codon, and T loops). RNAcentral also lists the same sequence under 1 other name. Lineage: Eukaryota; Fungi; Ascomycota; Sordariomycetes; Ophiostomatales; Ophiostomataceae. The record is from RNAcentral.